GAAAAACUCAUACUAAGAGUAUAUGGUGGAUGCCUUGACAUAAAAAGUCGAUGAAGGACGUGGUGUAACUACGAAAAGCCUCGGUGAGCCGUUAACAGGCCGUGACCCGGGGGUAUCCGAAUGGGGAAACCCUUCUGAGUAAACCUCAGAAAUUAUUAUCUGAAUUAAGUAGGGUAAUAAAGAGAACCUAGGGAAGUGAAACAUCUCAGUACCUAGAGGAAAAGAAAAAAAUGUUAAUAUUGAUAACGGUGGCAGACAUUAUUUAUUUAAUGCCUACAUCGGUAUCGGUAUUAUUUAUUCCCUGAGUAGUGGCGAGCGAAAUGGGAAAAGCCUAAACCUCUCGAUGCGUGACAUCGGAAUUUUCAAGCACCAAUUUUCAAGCACCAAACAAAAUUUAAAUAACCAAAAUUCAAAACUCCAAACAAAUUGGAAUUUAGAAAAUUGGGAUUUGGAAUUUGAUUGGGAUUUGGAAUUUGGGAUUUGGAGCUUCCGCUGUUGCGCAGCGGGUGGUGUUGCAAGGUGGGUGCGUUAUCGGAGUAAUCCGGUACAGAGCUAACUAAAUGUAAUUUGAUUAGUCAAAUGUUCCUGGAAAGGACGACCAAAGAGGGUGAUAGUCCCGUAGAUGAAAAUCAUUACAUGCUCUGAGUAUCUAUUCUUAAGUACCAUAGGGCCAGAGAAACCCUAUGGGAAUCCGGCAGUACUACUAACUUUGUCGCAAGACAAACUGCCAAGGCUAAAUACUUUUUAUGAUCGAUAGUGAACAAGUACCGUGAGGGAAAGGUGAAAAGUAGCCCGUUUAGGGCAGUGAAAUAGAAACUGAAAUCAUAUACUUACAACGAGUGGGAGCCUUGCUUCGGCAGGGUGACCGCGUGCUUUUUGCAGAACGAACCAACGAGUUUGCUAGGUAUUGCAAGUCUAAGCUCUUCGGAGCGGAGGCGUAGUGAAAGCGAGGGUUAAAUACCCGUUUAGCAAUACUUACAAGACCCGAAACCAGGUGAGCUAGCCAUGAGCAGGAUGAACCUCAACGAAAGUUGAGGGGAGGUCCGAACCCAUUAGCCGUGCAAUACUAUGGGAUGACUUGUGGUUAGGGAUGAAAUUUCAAUCGAACUUGGUAAUAGCUGGUUCUCUCCGAAAUAGCUAUAGGGCUAGCGUCCUUUGUUCCACUUUGGGGGUAGAGCACUGAAUGGACACGGCUGGACUUUUGUCUACCUUGUCCAAACAAACUCCGAAUACCAAAGUGCCAGAGAAGGGCAGUCAGAACGUGAGGGCUAAGCUUCACGCUCAAAAGGGGAACAGCCCAGAUCGUCGUCUAAGGUCCCUAAAUCUAUGCUAAGUGAUUUUAAGGAAGUGAGGUUUCUUAAACAGCUAGGAAGUUGGCUUAGAAGCAGCCAUCUUUUAAAGAGUGCGUAACAGCUCACUAGUCUACUGAAAUCUUGCGCCGAAAAUGUCCGGGGCUAAGCAUAGUACCGAAGACACGGGUUGUCAUGUCCUCCGGGAUGUGGCAGCGGUAGGAGAGCGUUCCAUACGCAGUGAAGUCUGAGCGCGAGUAAAGAUGGAGUGUAUGGAAGUGAGAAUGUUGGUAUGAGUAACAUGAAUUAUGGUGAGAAACCAUAACACCGAAAGCUUAAGGUUUCCUGGGCAACGAAAAUCAACCCAGGGUUAGUCGGUCCUAAGGCGAGGUCGAAAGACGUAGUCGAUGGAUAGCUGGUUAAUAUUCCAGCACUACUAUAUGUCAUGAUAUGGAAGGACGCAAUGUGGGAGGUUGGGCACAUUAUUGGAUUUGUGUCAAUAUCUUGUAGGCUGAUUCGCGAGGCAAAUCCCGUGGAUCUUUGAAAGCAAUUUCAUAAAAGCCGAGAGAUGUUGGAACUUCUGCCUAAGGGCGGGAGAACCUAACUGGGGUCAUGUUGCCAAGAAAAUUUUCUAAUUUAUCAUAUAGUAACCGUACCGCAAUCCGACACAGGUGAGCAGGCAUCAGCGUGCCAAGGUGUACGGGAGAACUCUUGUUAAGGAAUUCGGCAAAACAACGGCCGUAACUUCGGGAUAAGGCCUGCCUAUCGCAAGAUAGGCUGCAAUAAAAGAAAUCAGGGCGACUGUUUAACAAAAACACAGGUCUAUGCUAACCCGCAAGGGGAUGUAUAUGGGCCGACGCUUGUCCAGUGUCAGAACGUUAAGGUUGGAAGUGAAAGCUUUCGGCUGAAGCGCUGAUGAACGACAGCGGUAACUAUAACCGUUCUAAGGUAGUGGAUUUACUUAAGGAAGUGAAUUCACUAGGAUUGGAACGGCUAUAGGGAGAACAGUCAAGGAAAAAAAGUAGCUGCCCAUUUCUGUAAAAAGAAAUGUCCAUUUGGCCAUAUGCUGGAAACUCUGGUGAAUCUGAUGUUACUAUGGUAUAAUACGCACAUAGACAAUAUGAGAAAAUAUUAUGCCGAGUAAAAAUACAUUCAGUGCAGACAAUCAGCAGGAAAGGCCAGAAAUAUUAUAAUAUUUCUGGAAUCCUCAGAGAUCAAACGCCAAAACCAUUGAUAGAAAGAUGGUAAGAUAUGACCCUAUCUCUAUGGCGACAUAGAGGGAUAUCAACAAAUAUCCAUUUCGUUUAAUGACGGAAUAAAAACAAAUGAGCGAAAUUCCUUGUCACUUAAUUAGUGACGUGCAUGAAUAGCGGAACGACCCUGGUACUGUCUCAACAAGUGACCCGGUGAAAUCGCAUUAACAGUGAAGAUGCUGUUUACCUGCAGCUAGACGAAAAGACCCUAUGAAGCUUUACUAUAACUUGGUAUUGAGCCAAAUUUUGAAAUGCUUAGAAUAGGUGGGAGACUUCGAUCCUUAAUCUCCGGAUUAAGGGGAGUCGCAAUAUGAAAUACCACUCUUUUUACAAUUUUGUUCUAACCUCAUACCGUAAUCCGGUAUAGGAACAGUGCCUGGCGGGUAGUUUGACUGGGGCGGUUGCCUCCUAAAAAGUAACGGAGGCGUUUAAAGGUCGGCUAGGCGCGGAUGGAAAUCGCGCUGAUAGCGCAAAAGCAUAAGCCGGCUUUACUGUGAGACUGACGGGUCGAACAGUUGCGAAAGCAGAAUUUAGUGAUCCGAUGUGUCCAUGUAGGUGGCACAAAGCUCAACGGAUAAAAGCUACUCUAGGGAUAACAGGCUAGUCCAGUCCAAGCGUCCAUAGCGACGACUGGGUUCGGCACCUCGAUGUCGGCUCAUCGCAUCCUGGGGGUGAAGAAGCUCCCAAGGGUUUGGCUGUUCGCCAACUAAAGCGGUACGUGAGCUGGGUUCAAACCGUCGUGAGACAGGUUGGACUCCUAUCUACUGCAGGCGUAGAUACUUGCGAGAACUCUUUUCUAGUACGAGAGGACCGAAAAGAACGAACCUCUGGUGCACCAAUUGUCAUGCCAAUGGCAUAGUUGGGUAGCUAAGUUCGGACGAGAUAAACGCUGAAAGCAUAUAAGCGUGAAACUCAUCUCAAGAUUAGGUAUCAUAGAUUCCAGAGAGAUGAUCUGGUAAAAUUCUGUCGCAAGACAGAACUGAUAGGGUGCAGGUGUAAGUGUAGCAAUACAUUCAGCCGAGCACUACUAAUGAAUCAUUGGAGUUUUUCAU
RNAcentral lists this ribosomal RNA (3594 nucleotides) under bacterium. Its description in RNAcentral is "23S ribosomal RNA". It matches the Rfam family "Bacterial large subunit ribosomal RNA". The record is from RNAcentral.